AAGCCUAUACUUUCAGGGAUCAUUUCUAUAGUUCGUUACUAGAUGACUGUUGCCAUCAGUGCUCUACGCCAGCCCAACUGUAGUGAUCAUUGUUGUAAACUGUUGCAGA
This 109-nucleotide small nucleolar RNA is filed under the name Otolemur garnettii (small-eared galago). RNAcentral's name for it is "Small nucleolar RNA U3". It matches the Rfam family "Small nucleolar RNA U3". From Rfam's summary of the family: Small nucleolar RNAs (snoRNAs) are involved in the processing and modification of rRNA in the nucleolus. There are two main classes of snoRNAs: the box C/D class, and the box H/ACA class. The record is from Rfam by way of RNAcentral. Lineage: Eukaryota; Metazoa; Chordata; Mammalia; Primates; Galagidae.